GGGGCCGUAAUGGUUUCGACAGGUUGGCGAAAGCCACCCCGUGAUGCAGGCGGAGAGUGAGUCAACUCUCGAUAAUUAAGGCUCAUAAAUAUAGUAAGUGCGAACAAUAUCGUUCCUUUCGCUCGUAAGCCAGCCACUGUCGCUGCUUAAAAACCUCUAACAGGUUAGUUCGAGCACUCAUCGUCCGACACCGUUAAGGGCGAUGGGUAAAAACCAACGGUUGCGCGCUUUAUACGCCUCUGGUCGGUAAAGUGCAAAGAAUUAACCAGAGAUCCCUUUCAUCCGGGAUAAAGGAUGAACCCCGUUGUGAGGGUUAGAACAACUAAGCCUGUGAAGGAUCGGACGGUAAAUAGCCAGCCUGGACAGCAGUUCGAUUCUGCUCGGCUCCAUUU
Molecule: transfer-messenger RNA, 392 nt
Filed under: Cyanobacteria bacterium SW_9_44_58
Lineage: Bacteria; Bacillati; Cyanobacteriota
Also listed under: 1 other name
Rfam family: transfer-messenger RNA
About the family: Bacterial tmRNA, also known as 10Sa RNA or SsrA, is named for its dual tRNA and mRNA-like properties. Its role is to liberate the mRNA from a stalled ribosome.
Source: RNAcentral